RNAcentral lists this ribosomal RNA (1475 nucleotides) under Salmonella enterica subsp. enterica serovar Typhimurium. RNAcentral's name for it is "partial 23S ribosomal RNA". It matches the Rfam family "Bacterial large subunit ribosomal RNA", at positions 502 to 1874 of the family's 2925-position model. The record is from RNAcentral. Lineage: Bacteria; Pseudomonadati; Pseudomonadota; Gammaproteobacteria; Enterobacterales; Enterobacteriaceae.
CGUGAGGGAAAGGCGAAAAGAACCCCGGCGAGGGGAGUGAAAAAGAACCUGAAACCGUGUACGUACAAGCAGUGGGAGCACAGGUUUACCUGUGUGACUGCGUACCUUUUGUAUAAUGGGUCAGCGACUUAUAUUCUGUAGCAAGGUUAACCGUAUAGGGGAGCCGUAGGGAAACCGAGUCUUAACCGGGCGUUAAGUUGCAGGGUAUAGACCCGAAACCCGGUGAUCUAGCCAUGGGCAGGUUGAAGGUUGGGUAACACUAACUGGAGGACCGAACCGACUAAUGUUGAAAAAUUAGCGGAUGACCUGUGGCUGGGGGUGAAAGGCCAAUCAAACCGGGAGAUAGCUGGUUCUCCCCGAAAGCUAUUUAGGUAGCGCCUCGUGAAUUCAUCUCCGGGGGUAGAGCACUGUUUCGGCUAGGGGGCCAUCCCGGCUUACCAACCCGAUGCAAACUGCGAAUACCGGAGAAUGUUAUCACGGGAGACACACGGCGGGUGCUAACGUCCGUCGUGAAGAGGGAAACAACCCAGACCGCCAGCUAAGGUCCCAAAGUCAUGGUUAAGUGGGAAACGAUGUGGGAAGGCCCAGACAGCCAGGAUGUUGGCUUAGAAGCAGCCAUCAUUUAAAGAAAGCGUAAUAGCUCACUGGUCGAGUCGGCCUGCGCGGAAGAUGUAACGGGGCUAAACCAUGCACCGAAGCUGCGGCAGCGAACGUAUCACCCAAGACAACUUUACGGAGUUGACGAUUGACGGAGCGAAGCGACGUCAAAGCGUUCAUUAAAGUCGAGUUGGCUUAGGGAUACGUUCGUUGGGUAGGGGAGCGUUCUGUAAGCCUGUGAAGGUGUGUCGUGAGGCAUGCUGGAGGUAUCAGAAGUGCGAAUGCUGACAUAAGUAACGAUAAAGCGGGUGAAAAGCCCGCUCGCCGGAAGACCAAGGGUUCCUGUCCAACGUUAAUCGGGGCAGGGUGAGUCGACCCCUAAGGCGAGGCCGAAAGGCGUAGUCGAUGGGAAACGGGUUAAUAUUCCCGUACUUGGUGUUACUGCGAAGGGGGGACGGAGAAGGCUAUGUUGGCCGGGCGACGGUUGUCCCGGUUUAAGCGUGUAGGUGUGUGUUCCAGGUAAAUCCGGUUCACUUUAACACUGAGGCGUGACGACGAGGCACUACGGUGCUGAAGCAACAAAUGCCCUGCUUCCAGGAAAAGCCUCUAAGCAUCAGGUAACACGAAAUCGUACCCCAAACCGACACAGGUGGUCAGGUAGAGAAUACCAAGGCGCUUGAGAGAACUCGGGUGAAGGAACUAGGCAAAAUGGUGCCGUAACUUCGGGAGAAGGCACGCUGACACGUAGGUGAAGUGAUUUACUCAUGGAGCUGAAGUCAGUCGAAGAUACCAGCUGGCUGCAACUGUUUAUUAAAAACACAGCACUGUGCAAACACGAAAGUGGACGUAUACGGUGUGACGCCUGCCCGGUGCCGGAA